Molecule: long non-coding RNA, 266 nt
Filed under: Gossypium barbadense (sea-island cotton)
Lineage: Eukaryota; Viridiplantae; Streptophyta; Magnoliopsida; Malvales; Malvaceae
Description: long non-coding RNA (GBAR_LNC002059)
Source: RNAcentral
GAAGAUGUUUAAAAACUUUUAUUUAUUAUUUUAUAUUUUUACUUUUAUUUUAUUUUAAGACUACUUUUUAUUUUUCUUUCACCUUAUUUUUAUUAGGACUUAUAAUUAUUAUUUUACAAUUUUUAAUUUCGGCUAAUUCAUAUUGAGUACUUACUCUUCCUUAUAUAUUUCCUAAAAGAGUCCUGAUUCUAUCACCAUUAUAAAGAGCUCCAAAGCUCACUAUUACUCAGGAACUUGAAACUCCACUAGGAAAGGUUCUCCACGAC